RNAcentral lists this ribosomal RNA (465 nucleotides) under Vreelandella stevensii. RNAcentral describes it as "partial 16S ribosomal RNA". It matches the Rfam family "Bacterial small subunit ribosomal RNA", at positions 338 to 795 of the family's 1533-position model. Lineage: Bacteria; Pseudomonadati; Pseudomonadota; Gammaproteobacteria; Oceanospirillales; Halomonadaceae. The record is from RNAcentral.
CCUACGGGCGGCAGCAGUGGGGAAUAUUGGACAAUGGGGGCAACCCUGAUCCAGCCAUGCCGCGUGUGUGAAGAAGGCCCUCGGGUUGUAAAGCACUUUCAGUGAGGAAGAACGCCUGGUGGUUAAUACCCAUCAGGAAAGACAUCACUCACAGAAGAAGCACCGGCUAACUCCGUGCCAGCAGCCGCGGUAAUACGGAGGGUGCGAGCGUUAAUCGGAAUUACUGGGCGUAAAGCGCGCGUAGGUGGCUUGAUAAGCCGGUUGUGAAAGCCCCGGGCUCAACCUGGGAACGGCAUCCGGAACUGUCAAGCUAGAGUGCAGGAGAGGAAGGUAGAAUUCCCGGUGUAGCGGUGAAAUGCGUAGAGAUCGGGAGGAAUACCAGUGGCGAAGGCGGCCUUCUGGACUGACACUGACACUGAGGUGCGAAAGCGUGGGUAGCAAACAGGACUAGAUACCCCUGUAGUC